This 699-nucleotide ribosomal RNA is filed under the name uncultured Alphaproteobacteria bacterium. Its description in RNAcentral is "bacterial SSU rRNA". It matches the Rfam family "Bacterial small subunit ribosomal RNA", at positions 28 to 776 of the family's 1533-position model. Lineage: Bacteria; Pseudomonadati; Pseudomonadota; Alphaproteobacteria. The record is from RNAcentral.
AGCGAACGCUGGUGGCAGGCCUAACACAUGCAAGUCGAACGGCUCUUCGGAGCAGUGGCGGACGGGUGAGUAACGCGUGGGAACGUGCCCUUUGGUUCGGAACAACACAGGGAAACUUGUGCUAAUACCGGAUGUGCCCUUCGGGGGAAAGAUUUAUCGCCAUUGGAGCGGCCCGCGUUGGAUUAGGUAGUUGGUGGGGUAAUGGCCCACCAAGCCGACGAUCCAUAGCUGGUCUGAGAGGAUGAUCAGCCACACUGGGACUGAGACACGGCCCAGACUCCUACGGGAGGCAGCAGUGGGGAAUCUUGCGCAAUGGGCGAAAGCCUGACGCAGCCAUGCCGCGUGAAUGAUGAAGGUCUUAGGAUUGUAAAAUUCUUUCACCGGGGAAGAUAAUGACGGUACCCGGAGAAGAAGCCCCGGCUAACUUCGUGCCAGCAGCCGCGGUAAUACGAAGGGGGCUAGCGUUGCUCGGAAUUACUGGGCGUAAAGGGCGCGUAGGCGGACAGUUAAGUCAGAGGUGAAAGCCCAGGGCUCAACCUUGGAAUUGCCUUUGAUACUGGCUGUCUUGAGUUCGGGAGAGGUGAGUGGAAUGCCGAGUGUAGAGGUGAAAUUCGUAGAUAUUCGGCGGAACACCAGUGGCGAAGGCGACUCACUGGCCCGAUACUGACGCUGAGGCGCGAAGCGUGGGGAGCAAACAGG